AUGUUAUAUGAAAGGAGAAGUUAACACUCCCCUUGAUAAAAGAUGGAAGAGGUUCUAGUAGCCUUUACAACACAUAUACAGUUAAAGCAUUGCCACCUACUCUGUGGCAUCUAAUCAUCAGACCAU
This is a small nuclear RNA of Dromiciops gliroides (monito del monte), 126 nucleotides long. NCBI's taxonomy places the organism in Eukaryota, Metazoa, Chordata, Mammalia, Microbiotheria, Microbiotheriidae. The record is from RefSeq and is a predicted model, not a curated record.